AUCUCCUCUUGACCUAACUAGCAGCCAGCCUCCAUCUCAAUUAAUUUUUUUCGCCGCUCUCCAUCUCUCAAAGAACAAAACAAGCAGAUCUAUCGUCUCCCUAGCUCUAUCGUCUCCCUAACCUAAUAUAAACAUCUCUCAAGCAGAUCUGGAAGAACAAAACAAGAACUUGACUACCAUGGAGCGUGGGGCAUGAAUAUUGUGAGCUCUGUGGGAAUUAUCAUGGCCAACAAGCAGCUCAUGUCCCCCCAUGGCUUUGGCUUUGGCUUUGAUGAAUGCAGCUUGCUUUGUCAAAACUUUUGGAUGGAUGGAUGCUGAUGUUUUGAAAGGAUAUUUGUUAUUUUUUUUGUCAUGGGUUGUAAUCGUUAUAAUUUGGAUUUCUUGCUUUAUUAUUUGUGUGGGUGUAUUAUUUAUAAUUUGAAUGAGUUCAGCAUUUGAAAA
Long non-coding RNA from Prunus avium (sweet cherry), 441 nucleotides. RefSeq lists it as uncharacterized. The record is from RefSeq and is a predicted model, not a curated record. NCBI's taxonomy places the organism in Eukaryota, Viridiplantae, Streptophyta, Magnoliopsida, Rosales, Rosaceae.